GAGAAGGAGGACAAACUGUAGACUUGUGCGGAGGAGCAGGUGCUAGAGUCCGACAGAAAGAGAUAGGUGUCAGUACAGACUGAAAGAUGUGGAAAAACAGAAAGAAGUUUAAAUUGAUUUCUUUUGCUUUUUAAAGAACAAUUACCACAUUUGCUUCCUCUUCCUAAUUCAGCUUGAGUUACUGAAUACAGUUCUGAGAAAUCAACAGAACAGUAACAAUUGUAAUUGCACAGAAGAAACUUCAGAUACUCCUGUACUGGGAGGGGUAAUACAGGUGUUAUCUUACUGUGUGAGAGAGAGAGAGUGAGAGAGAAAGAAGAGGAAGAGAAAGAGGGAGCGUGCCAUUGUUGCAGGGAUGUUCAUGAUUAUUCGAGAAGGAUCAGCAGGAGGGGCAGGUAGUACCGGCGGCAUGAACGCUCCACCGGAGAGAACAGCCAAACAGGUCCAGGCCGCAAUCAAGAAGAAGGUGGAGAAACAGAGGAAGCAAGUUGAAACGGGUGUGGUGGAGGCAUUUAACAGUAAUACAAGACCGAAAAUGGGACAAAAAAAGAAUCAGCCCAUCCAUCCUCCCAGCAGAAGUGGAGAUGGUGAGGAGGAAGAAGAGGAAGAGCCUGCUGAGAAUGGGGAACCAAAGGAGAAGGAAGAACUCGACCUCAGACCUAUCGUGGAUUCUGUUUUUGGCCAAGUAAGAGUACACAAGAUCACCCCCUGCUGGCCAUCAUUCAUAUCCCAUACACAUACUGCCAUGUCAUGCUCUUUUAGCUACAGCAGUCUAUCUGUGGUCCACUACUACCUUCAGUUUUCACAUUUUUUUGUUGUGUUGGUAGAACCAGAACUGCUUAUAUAAUUAAUAGGACCGGAGUGGCUGUAUAUAUAUCAAACUAUUACAAUUUUAAAGGCCCUAGCAGGUCUUUAUUCUGAUGGGUAUUCCUUAUCCGUGCUCUGUUAGGUAACAUUGUUGAUACAUGAUAUGGACGCUCUGCUAACUCAUUCCUUUUAUUUUCUAAUUGACACUCGCCGUAACAGUAACUGUUGAAUGCAACAUGAAAAUCUUGAAGCUCAGAGUUAGACCCAAUUUUGAUUAAAUGAUAACAUAACCAUGAUGUCAAUAUGUAUAUACAGGCACCCAGGGAGCUGUUGGGGGUUCGGUGCCUUGCUCAAGGGCACCUCAGUCAUGGUUUUGCCAGCCCGAGACUGAAACCCACAACCUUAGGAUUGGGAGUCAAACUAUAUAUAUAAAUAAAUGCAAUCUCUUGGUAAACUUAUUAAGCA
Cyprinus carpio (common carp) is the source of this 1272-nucleotide long non-coding RNA. The record is from Ensembl. NCBI's taxonomy places the organism in Eukaryota, Metazoa, Chordata, Actinopteri, Cypriniformes, Cyprinidae.